This 368-nucleotide long non-coding RNA is filed under the name Lactuca sativa (garden lettuce). RNAcentral's name for it is "long non-coding RNA (LSAT_LNC004328)". Lineage: Eukaryota; Viridiplantae; Streptophyta; Magnoliopsida; Asterales; Asteraceae. The record is from RNAcentral.
UGUAGUCUUCUACCAAGACCCAAAUGUUUUGUAAGUAAAAUGAUAGUUUUUCCUUUCCAUUGACUAGUACCAAGAGUACUUAGUCUAACUCUUCGUUUAUGUGAAUAUAUCACAAAAUAAAGUAAAUAGGAAAAAGUACUAAUGUAAGUGUUAUCCCAAGGUACUAGGGCUAACACGCCAUCGCGUAAAGCGAAAUGUAUAACUUAUCACAAAAUAAAGUAAAUAGGAAAAUAUACUAAAGUAAGUGUUAUCCCGAGGUACUAGGGCUAACACGACAUAUGUAAAUGUUAUCCCGAGGUACUAGGGCUAACACGACAUAUAUAACCUAAUGAACAUCCGAAGAUUGUCCAAUUGUCCUCUGUAGCAGC